UGAGGAAUAUUGGUCAAUGGGCGCAAGCCUGAACCAGCCAAGUAGCGUGCAGGAAGACGGCCCUAUGGGUUGUAAACUGCUUUUAUACGAGAAUAAAUUGAUGCACGUGUGCGUUAUUGCAUGUAUCGUAUGAAUAAGGACCGGCUAAUUCCGUGCCAGCAGCCGCGGUAAUACGGAAGGUCCAGGCGUUAUCCGGAUUUAUUGGGUUUAAAGGGAGUGUAGGCGGUUUGUUAAGCGUGUUGUGAAAUUUAGGUGCUCAACAUUUAACUUGCAGCGCGAACUGUCAGACUUGAGUACACGCAACGUAUGCGGAAUUCAUGGUGUAGCGGUGAAAUGCUUAGAUAUCAUGAAGAACUCCGAUUGCGAAGGCAGCAUACGGGAGUGUAACUGACGCUUAAGCUCGAAGGUGCGGGUAUCGAACAGGAUUAGAUACCCUGGUAGUCCGCACAGUAAACGAUGGAUGCCCGCUGUUAGCGCCUGGCGUUAGCGGCUAAGCGAAAGCAUUAAGCAUCCCACCUGGGGAGUACGCCGGCAACGGUG
This 540-nucleotide ribosomal RNA is filed under the name uncultured bacterium. RNAcentral describes it as "bacterial SSU rRNA". It matches the Rfam family "Bacterial small subunit ribosomal RNA", at positions 355 to 896 of the family's 1533-position model. The record is from RNAcentral.